CCUACGGGGGGCUGCAGUGGGGAAUAUUGGACAAUGGGCGAAAGCCUGAUCCAGCAAUGCCGCGUGAGUGAUGAAGGCCUUAGGGUUGUAAAGCUCUUUCGCCUGCGACGAUGAUGACGGUAGCAGGAGAAGAAGCCCCGGCUAAUUCCGUGCCAGCAGCCGCGGUAAUACGGAAGGGGCUAGCGUUGUUCGGAAUUACUGGGCGUAAAGCGCGCGUAGGCGGCUGGGUAAGUGUGGCGUGAAAGUCCUGGGCUCAACCUGGGGACGGCGCUGCAGACUGCCUGGCUGGAGUCCGGAAGAGGGUAGUGGAAUUCCGAGUGUAGAGGUGAAAUUCGUAGAUAUUCGGAGGAACACCGGUGGCGAAGGCGGCUACCUGGUCCGGUACUGACGCUGAAGUGCGAAAGCGUGGGGAGCAAACAGGAUUAGAUACCCGGGUAGUC
This 440-nucleotide ribosomal RNA is filed under the name uncultured organism. Its description in RNAcentral is "bacterial SSU rRNA". It matches the Rfam family "Bacterial small subunit ribosomal RNA", at positions 338 to 795 of the family's 1533-position model. The record is from RNAcentral.